GCUGGGUGCAGUGGUGCGUGCCUAUAGUCCCAGCUACACGGGAGGCUGAAGUGGGAGGAUCGCUUGAGCCCAGGAGUUCUAGGCGGUAGUGCGCUAUGCCAAUCGGGUGUCCACACUAAGUUCAGCAUCAAUACGGUGACCUCCUGGGAGCAGGGGACCACCAGCUUGCCUUAGGAGGGGUGAACUGGCCCAGGUCAGAAACAGAGCAGAUCAAAACUCCCGUGCUGAUCAGUAGUGGGAUCAAGCCUGUGAAUUGCCACUGCACUCCAGCCUGGGCAACAUAGCAAGACCCCAUCUCUA
Unclassified non-coding RNA from Callithrix jacchus (white-tufted-ear marmoset), 300 nucleotides. It matches the Rfam family "Metazoan signal recognition particle RNA". From Rfam's summary of the family: The signal recognition particle (SRP) is a universally conserved ribonucleoprotein. It is involved in the co-translational targeting of proteins to membranes. NCBI's taxonomy places the organism in Eukaryota, Metazoa, Chordata, Mammalia, Primates, Cebidae. The record is from Ensembl.